RNAcentral lists this ribosomal RNA (253 nucleotides) under uncultured bacterium. RNAcentral's name for it is "partial 16S ribosomal RNA". It matches the Rfam family "Bacterial small subunit ribosomal RNA", at positions 524 to 776 of the family's 1533-position model. The record is from RNAcentral.
GACAGAGGGUGCGAACGUUGUUCGGAAUUACUGGGCGUAAAGCGUGCGUAGGUGGUUUGUUAAGUCUGUUGUGAAAGCCCCGGGCUCAACCUGGGAAUGGCAAUGGAUACUGGCAAGCUAGAGUGCGGUAGAGGGUAGUGGAAUUCCCGGUGUAGCGGUGAAAUGCGUAGAGAUCGGGAGGAACACCAGUGGCGAAGGCGGCUACCUGGACCAGCACUGACACUGAGGCACGAAAGCGUGGGGAGCAAACAGG